This 2892-nucleotide ribosomal RNA is filed under the name Escherichia coli. RNAcentral's name for it is "bacterial LSU rRNA". It matches the Rfam family "Bacterial large subunit ribosomal RNA". Lineage: Bacteria; Pseudomonadati; Pseudomonadota; Gammaproteobacteria; Enterobacterales; Enterobacteriaceae. The record is from RNAcentral.
ACUAAGCGUACACGGUGGAUGCCCUGGCAGUCAGAGGCGAUGAAGGACGUGCUAAUCUGCGAUAAGCGUCGGUAAGGUGAUAUGAACCGUUAUAACCGGCGAUUUCCGAAUGGGGAAACCCAGUGUGUUUCGACACACUAUCAUUAACUGAAUCCAUAGGUUAAUGAGGCGAACCGGGGGAACUGAAACAUCUAAGUACCCCGAGGAAAAGAAAUCAACCGAGAUUCCCCCAGUAGCGGCGAGCGAACGGGGAGCAGCCCAGAGCCUGAAUCAGUGUGUGUGUUAGUGGAAGCGUCUGGAAAGGCGCGCGAUACAGGGUGACAGCCCCGUACACAAAAAUGCACAUACUGUGAGCUCGAUGAGUAGGGCGGGACACGUGGUAUCCUGUCUGAAUAUGGGGGGACCAUCCUCCAAGGCUAAAUACUCCUGACUGACCGAUAGUGAACCAGUACCGUGAGGGAAAGGCGAAAAGAACCCCGGCGAGGGGAGUGAAAAAGAACCUGAAACCGUGUACGUACAAGCAGUGGGAGCACGCUUAGGCGUGUGACUGCGUACCUUUUGUAUAAUGGGUCAGCGACUUAUAUUCUGUAGCAAGGUUAACCGAAUAGGGGAGCCGAAGGGAAACCGAGUCUUAACUGGGCGUUAAGUUGCAGGGUAUAGACCCGAAACCCGGUGAUCUAGCCAUGGGCAGGUUGAAGGUUGGGUAACACUAACUGGAGGACCGAACCGACUAAUGUUGAAAAAUUAGCGGAUGACUUGUGGCUGGGGGUGAAAGGCCAAUCAAACCGGGAGAUAGCUGGUUCUCCCCGAAAGCUAUUUAGGUAGCGCCUCGUGAAUUCAUCUCCGGGGGUAGAGCACUGUUUCGGCAAGGGGGUCAUCCCGACUUACCAACCCGAUGCAAACUGCGAAUACCGGAGAAUGUUAUCACGGGAGACACACGGCGGGUGCUAACGUCCGUCGUGAAGAGGGAAACAACCCAGACCGCCAGCUAAGGUCCCAAAGUCAUGGUUAAGUGGGAAACGAUGUGGGAAGGCCCAGACAGCCAGGAUGUUGGCUUAGAAGCAGCCAUCAUUUAAAGAAAGCGUAAUAGCUCACUGGUCGAGUCGGCCUGCGCGGAAGAUGUAACGGGGCUAAACCAUGCACCGAAGCUGCGGCAGCGACACUAUGUGUUGUUGGGUAGGGGAGCGUUCUGUAAGCCUGUGAAGGUGUACUGUGAGGUAUGCUGGAGGUAUCAGAAGUGCGAAUGCUGACAUAAGUAACGAUAAAGCGGGUGAAAAGCCCGCUCGCCGGAAGACCAAGGGUUCCUGUCCAACGUUAAUCGGGGCAGGGUGAGUCGACCCCUAAGGCGAGGCCGAAAGGCGUAGUCGAUGGGAAACAGGUUAAUAUUCCUGUACUUGGUGUUACUGCGAAGGGGGGACGGAGAAGGCUAUGUUGGCCGGGCGACGGUUGUCCCGGUUUAAGCGUGUAGGCUGGUUUUCCAGGCAAAUCCGGAAAAUCAAGGCUGAGGCGUGAUGACGAGGCACUACGGUGCUGAAGCAACAAAUGCCCUGCUUCCAGGAAAAGCCUCUAAGCAUCAGGUAACAUCAAAUCGUACCCCAAACCGACACAGGUGGUCAGGUAGAGAAUACCAAGGCGCUUGAGAGAACUCGGGUGAAGGAACUAGGCAAAAUGGUGCCGUAACUUCGGGAGAAGGCACGCUGAUAUGUAGGUGAAGUCCCUCGCGGAUGGAGCUGAAAUCAGUCGAAGAUACCAGCUGGCUGCAACUGUUUAUUAAAAACACAGCACUGUGCAAACACGAAAGUGGACGUAUACGGUGUGACGCCUGCCCGGUGCCGGAAGGUUAAUUGAUGGGGUUAGCGCAAGCGAAGCUCUUGAUCGAAGCCCCGGUAAACGGCGGCCGUAACUAUAACGGUCCUAAGGUAGCGAAAUUCCUUGUCGGGUAAGUUCCGACCUGCACGAAUGGCGUAAUGAUGGCCAGGCUGUCUCCACCCGAGACUCAGUGAAAUUGAACUCGCUGUGAAGAUGCAGUGUACCCGCGGCAAGACGGAAAGACCCCGUGAACCUUUACUAUAGCUUGACACUGAACAUUGAGCCUUGAUGUGUAGGAUAGGUGGGAGGCUUUGAAGUGUGGACGCCAGUCUGCAUGGAGCCGACCUUGAAAUACCACCCUUUAAUGUUUGAUGUUCUAACGUUGACCCGUAAUCCGGGUUGCGGACAGUGUCUGGUGGGUAGUUUGACUGGGGCGGUCUCCUCCUAAAGAGUAACGGAGGAGCACGAAGGUUGGCUAAUCCUGGUCGGACAUCAGGAGGUUAGUGCAAUGGCAUAAGCCAGCUUGACUGCGAGCGUGACGGCGCGAGCAGGUGCGAAAGCAGGUCAUAGUGAUCCGGUGGUUCUGAAUGGAAGGGCCAUCGCUCAACGGAUAAAAGGUACUCCGGGGAUAACAGGCUGAUACCGCCCAAGAGUUCAUAUCGACGGCGGUGUUUGGCACCUCGAUGUCGGCUCAUCACAUCCUGGGGCUGAAGUAGGUCCCAAGGGUAUGGCUGUUCGCCAUUUAAAGUGGUACGCGAGCUGGGUUUAGAACGUCGUGAGACAGUUCGGUCCCUAUCUGCCGUGGGCGCUGGAGAACUGAGGGGGGCUGCUCCUAGUACGAGAGGACCGGAGUGGACGCAUCACUGGUGUUCGGGUUGUCAUGCCAAUGGCACUGCCCGGUAGCUAAAUGCGGAAGAGAUAAGUGCUGAAAGCAUCUAAGCACGAAACUUGCCCCGAGAUGAGUUCUCCCUGACUCCUUGAGAGUCCUGAAGGAACGUUGAAGACGACGACGUUGAUAGGCCGGGUGUGUAAGCGCAGCGAUGCGUUGAGCUAACCGGUACUAAUGAACCGUGAGGCUUAACC